This 440-nucleotide ribosomal RNA is filed under the name uncultured bacterium. Its description in RNAcentral is "partial 16S ribosomal RNA". It matches the Rfam family "Bacterial small subunit ribosomal RNA", at positions 338 to 795 of the family's 1533-position model. The record is from RNAcentral.
CCUACGGGUGGCAGCAGUGGGGAAUAUUGCACAAUGGGGGGAACCCUGAUGCAGCGACGCCGCGUGAGUGAAGAAGUAUUUCGGUAUGUAAAGCUCUAUCAGCAGGGAAGAAAAUGACGGUACCUGACUAAGAAGCCCCGGCUAACUACGUGCCAGCAGCCGCGGUAAUACGUAGGGGGCAAGCGUUAUCCGGAUUUACUGGGUGUAAAGGGAGCGCAGACGGCUGUGCAAGUCUGGAGUGAAAGGCGGGGGCCCAACCCCCGGACUGCUCUGGAAACUGUAAAGCUGGAGUGCAGGAGAGGUAAGCGGAAUUCCUAGUGUAGCGGUGAAAUGCGUAGAUAUUAGGAGGAACACUGAUUGCGAAGGCAGCUUACCAAGCUACUUCUGACGUUGAGGCACGAAAGCGUGGGGAGCAAACAGGAUUAGAUACCCGGGUAGUC